UACGAAGGGGGCUAGCGUUGCUCGGAAUCACUGGGCGUAAAGGGUGCGUAGGCGGGGCUUUAAGUCAGGGGUGAAAUCCUGGAGCUCAACUCCAGAACUGCCUUCGAUACUGGGGAGCUAGAGUCCGGGAGAGGUGAGUGGAACUGCGAGUGUAGAGGUGAAAUUCGUAGAUAUUCGCAAGAACACCAGUGGCGAAGGCGGCUCACUGGCCCGGUACUGACGCUGAGGUGCGAAAGCGUGGGGAGCAAACAGG
RNAcentral lists this ribosomal RNA (253 nucleotides) under uncultured bacterium. RNAcentral describes it as "partial 16S ribosomal RNA". It matches the Rfam family "Bacterial small subunit ribosomal RNA", at positions 524 to 776 of the family's 1533-position model. The record is from RNAcentral.